UAAUGAAGAAUAUAUCUAAGUAUUUAUUUGACAAGCUGGAAUUAAUCAACACAAGACAUUUAAAAGAUGGAACUUAUAUUGUUAUUAUUGGGAGACACACCUGAAUUAUAUCAAGCCAAAUCCAAAUCAUGUAAUGAUUUAUCAGCCAUUUAAGUAUUUUAAACUCUACUAAAUAAACAUAAGCAUGUAAGCAUGCAUGCUGCAUGUACAUAUAUUCUGUCUUGACUGAAGAAAAGACUAAUAUUACAUAUAUGCAUACUUAUUAGUCCAAAAUGAAAGAAAUUAAGCCAUUUACUCAUUGAUGCUAUAGCAUAGCUGCAUACAAAAAUAUCAAAGCCUACUAGCAUGAGACAUGCACCUGCACUGUGACUAACUGUUUGGAUCUAAUCCUGGCUCAUAUACUAGUCUUGGAUAAUAGGUCAUUAUACCGUUAUGUCCUAUGCCACUUAAAAACAUGAAUUUAAAGAUCAAAUAUCUAAGCAGUUAUAAACUAUAUGUCGCUGUGACUGAAAAAAGACUAUGUUUAAAGAGUCAAACAGUCUUGGUGUCUUCUGAGACAGGGAAUCUCUUGAAGGUCCGUUGUUUCACUGAAAAAAGACACAAACAUGAAUGAAUUAUGUAGCAUUAUUUACUGUUCCCUUCGAACAUUAUUAGCAUCGUAUUUGUGUAUGAAAACAACAAGUGCACAAUAACUUAAAUCUAAGGCAAUGAGUCACUCGUAUGUGAUUAAAUUACUAAUGGGUCAUCCUGCAGGCCUCAUGUUUUAUAAAGUAGACUCUCGUGUGCUUGUGUAUCAAAUACACACAACAAAAUAUAUUUGAAACAAUGACACUUCUGAUCACUGUGGCUCACGUACUGCAGUAACCUACCUUUCUGUAUUUUCAACAGAGUCAUCAUCAUCAUCACCACCAUCCCAGAAAUCAUGAGGAUAAGCAGACAGCCCAGAGUUCCUGCGAAUGCCUGGUAGGACAGAGACACUUCUGGUCCAGGGAAACCUGUGAAUGGAGAGUGUUGUACACAUUAAUAUGACUCAGUCUGUCUUUAGACUGAUGGUAAUGGGGCUUCUGCAGAGCGCUAUACUCACCAUGACUCUCAAUAUGCUUACUGAAGAUGAACACAUCGCUAAGGAGAGUCUUGCCGUCUAGUUUCUGAACACAUGAGAAGGAAGCGGGUGAAGACACCGUGAUCUUGAAGAGGUGUUCUGUUCCUCUGCUGAAGUCGGGGUAGUUCAUUGUGAAGCUUUGCUCUUCCACCACCACCUUCAGCUGCAGUUGGCUUCCAUGAACGGGAACGUGACAUUGACAGGAAACUAUGACGGCGUCCUCAUAGUUGCUCACCAAUCUGUACACUCUAAUCAGUGGGUUUGGGAGAUCUGAAAUUCAAAACACAGCCCAUCAUAUGACCAGCAUGUUUUCAUAAAAAAAAUAAUGGGAUCAAUAACAUUUUUGUCCAGUCUGGUCACAACUUUCUUGGCUGAAUAAAAUGUAUAUAAAGAAUGUAGACAAACGUCAACCUACUGGGUUGCAUCCAGUACCAUGCUGGAGCUAAAUACUUUAAACAUAUUUAAACAGCCAACUGUGUACAAAUGUGAGGUGCAGGAUGUUGUCAAGUCAUAUCCUAGAGUUGAGAAUAGUCAGUGUAGUUUGGGAGUUGAGAUAAAGAAUAGUAAAAAUUCAGAAAACGCUUUGGAUUAAAAUCCCUUUGUAUACUAUGUAAUAUAAGUAUAAUAGAUUAUGGUCAAUAGAUUUCAGCAAUGUUGUUUGUAAAAUAAGUGUUAGAGGUGUAUUCUUGGAUAUGGAGAGACAUGGACAAAACCCUGCUGUAAUUUGCUGAAAGAUCUCACAAAUGUUUGGCCAUACUGACUAUAUGAAGAGUCUGUAUGAAGUAUGUUGAUCAACAUAUACUUACUGGGUCUCAUCCUGGGCCACCGUGGAUCUGAAAUAUAGAGAGAAAUAACUCAUCUGGAACCGUCGUGGAGUGAAUGUUUUAAAUAUUUUAUAUAUUAUAACAUUUUAAAAAUGAAUUGUGUAGAAAUGUGAGAUGAAGGCCAUGUGAGAGUCACAUACUUUGGGUUGCCCAAUCAUAUCCUGAAGCUGAAAUAAAGAACAAUCAAAAUUCACAAAACACUUUGAAUUAAAAUAUCAAGUGAUAUCCAUUCAAUACAGUGUUCUAGAUUAUCAAGAACAAUUGUACCAUCAAAAAAUAGCUCAAAAAAUGAAAAGACACUUAAAAUAUAUGAAU
Clupea harengus (Atlantic herring) is the source of this 2241-nucleotide long non-coding RNA. Lineage: Eukaryota; Metazoa; Chordata; Actinopteri; Clupeiformes; Clupeidae. The record is from Ensembl.